Molecule: transfer RNA, 74 nt
Filed under: Camelus bactrianus (Bactrian camel)
Lineage: Eukaryota; Metazoa; Chordata; Mammalia; Artiodactyla; Camelidae
Also listed under: 2 other names
Rfam family: tRNA
About the family: Transfer RNA (tRNA) molecules are approximately 80 nucleotides in length.
Source: Rfam by way of RNAcentral
GGUGGUGUACAGCUCAGGGGUAGAGCGCAUGCUUAGCAUGCGUGAGGCCCUGGGUUCAAUCCCCAGGACCUCCA